Molecule: ribosomal RNA, 468 nt
Filed under: uncultured bacterium
Lineage: Bacteria
Description: partial 16S ribosomal RNA
Rfam family: Bacterial small subunit ribosomal RNA
Source: RNAcentral
GACGAACGCUGGCGGCGUGCUUAACACAUGCAAGUCGAACGGAAAGGCCCUGCUUUUGUGGGGUGCUCGAGUGGCGAACGGGUGAGUAACACGUGAGUAACCUGCCCUUGACUUUGGGAUAACUUCAGGAAACUGGGGCUAAUACCGGAUAGGAGCUCCUGCUGCAUGGUGGGGGUUGGAAAGUUUCGGCGGUUGGGGAUGGACUCGCGGCUUAUCAGCUUGUUGGUGGGGUAGUGGCUUACCAAGGCUUUGACGGGUAGCCGGCCUGAGAGGGUGACCGGCAACAUUGGGACUGAGAUACGGCCCAGACUCCUACGGGAGGCAGCAGAGGGGAAUAUUGCACAAUGGGCGGAAGCCAGAUGCAGCAACGCCGCGUGCGGGAUGACGGCCUUCGGGUUGUAAACCGAUUUCGCCUGUGACGAAGCGUGAGUGACGGUAAUGGGUAAAGAAGCACCGGCUAACUACGUG